UUAUUCCUUUUGUUCGUGCUUUCUCGGUAAUUUGACAGUUCAAAUUAGGCAGUCAUUUUGGUUAUCCGCAUUACUGAACUCAAUGCAGAAAAAGGUGGAAAGUGGUGGUGCGAGAGUGGCGCAAGUUUCAGUCAGAAAUUUUUGUUUUGAAUAUCUGAUAGUAAACAGUUGGCACUGGAUGAAAAAUAUAUAAGUUUCAUUUGAAUUAAUAAAGAAUUGAAUGGAAAAAUGUAUUAAAUUAUUAACCGUUCCAACAUAAAUAAAGUGUUAAAGAUUGAAUUAAAGCCAAUUUUCAAAUUUAAUUUAAAUAAAAUAAGAAAUAUAAAUUUGUCAACAACAUCAACUUUUGGAAAAACUUGCUGGAAUCCAUGUAUAUUACAACCAUAAAACGACAAAUAACGCGAACUUCAUCGACUUGUUAUAAACCGGUGCACGAUAAAAAUAUCGAAUAAUCGUUGUGCUAUUUAGAUUACAUUUAUCUUUCUUUAAAGUCAGAGGAAAGGACACCAAUAACAAACAAUCAUAUGUGCACAUAUAUGUACACAAACAUCAGCAGGUGCAACAUUUAAAACAUUUUUUACAACAAUAACAUGUCUGAUCUUGGCAGUGGCGACGAAGGCAUUUCUGGUUCAAAAUACAAUGCAAGCGGCAUGGAAGGCACAGGUGGAAGAAGUGACUUCGAUUCUUCUGGCAAGGGUAAGUGUACAUUGACGAAUUAAGUU
RNAcentral lists this unclassified non-coding RNA (722 nucleotides) under Bactrocera tryoni. Its description in RNAcentral is "uncharacterized LOC120779675, transcript variant X12". The record is from RNAcentral. Lineage: Eukaryota; Metazoa; Arthropoda; Insecta; Diptera; Tephritidae.